GGAGCCAUCAUCUAAUGGUUAGGAUACAAGAUUUUCAUUCUUGGCAUAGGGGUUCGAUUCCCCUUGGUUCUA
RNAcentral lists this transfer RNA (72 nucleotides) under Crassvirales sp. RNAcentral describes it as "tRNA-Glu". It matches the Rfam family "tRNA". From Rfam's summary of the family: Transfer RNA (tRNA) molecules are approximately 80 nucleotides in length. Their secondary structure includes four short double-helical elements and three loops (D, anti-codon, and T loops). Further hydrogen bonds mediate the characteristic L-shaped molecular structure. tRNAs have two regions of fundamental functional importance: the anti-codon, which is responsible for specific mRNA codon recognition, and the 3' end, to which the tRNAs corresponding amino acid is attached (by aminoacyl-tRNA synthetases). tRNAs cope with the degeneracy of the genetic code in two manners: having more than one tRNA (with a specific anti-codon) for a particular amino acid; and 'wobble' base-pairing, i.e. permitting non-standard base-pairing at the 3rd anti-codon position. The record is from RNAcentral. Lineage: Duplodnaviria; Heunggongvirae; Uroviricota; Caudoviricetes; Crassvirales.